Molecule: ribosomal RNA, 750 nt
Filed under: uncultured Rhizobium sp.
Lineage: Bacteria; Pseudomonadati; Pseudomonadota; Alphaproteobacteria; Hyphomicrobiales; Rhizobiaceae
Description: bacterial SSU rRNA
Rfam family: Bacterial small subunit ribosomal RNA
Source: RNAcentral
AGAGUUUGCUCCUUUNAANCAGAACGAACGCUGGCGGCAGGCCUCAAACAUGCNAGUCUAGGGGGUGUAGCAAUACAUCACCGGCGGACGGGUGCGUAACACGUGGGAAUAUACCUUUUGGUUCGGAACAACGCAGGGAAACUUGCGCUAAUACCGAAUGUGCCCUUACGGGGAAAGAUUUAUCGCCAAAGGAUUAGCCCGCGUCCGAUUAGCUAGUUGGUGAGGUAAUGGCUCACCAAGGCUCCGAUCGGUAGCUGUUCUGAGAGGAAGAUCAGCCACACUGGGACUGAGACACGGCCCAGACUCCUACGGGAGGCAGCAGUUGGGAAUCUUGGACAAUGGGGGAAACCCUGAUCCAGCCAUGCCGCGUGAGUGAUGAAGGCCUUCGGGUUGUAAAACUCUUUCGACGGGGACGAUAAUGACGGUACCCGUAGAAGAAGCUCCGGCUAACUUCGUGCCAGCAGCCGCGGUAAUACGAAGGGGGCUAGCGUUGUUCGGAAUUACUGGGCGUAAAGCGCGCGCAGGUGGUCUUUCAAGUCAGUGGUGAAAGCCCGGAGCUCAACUCCGGAAAUGCCAUUGAAACUGUGAGACUUGAGGACGAGAGAGGUGAGUGGAAUUCCCAGUGUAGAGGUGAAAUUCGUAGAUAUUGGGAAGAACACCGGUGGCGAAGGCGGCUCACUGGCUCGUAUCUGACGCUCAGGCGCGACAGCGUGGGGAUCAAACAGGAUUAGAUACCCUGGUAGUCCACGC